AUCCAGCUGACGAGUCCUAAAUUGGACAAAAUGCGUAUCCUGGAU
RNAcentral lists this non-coding RNA (45 nucleotides) under Trichobilharzia regenti. Lineage: Eukaryota; Metazoa; Platyhelminthes; Trematoda; Strigeidida; Schistosomatidae. The record is from RNAcentral.